Long non-coding RNA from Vitis vinifera (wine grape), 721 nucleotides. RefSeq lists it as uncharacterized. The record is from RefSeq and is a predicted model, not a curated record. NCBI's taxonomy places the organism in Eukaryota, Viridiplantae, Streptophyta, Magnoliopsida, Vitales, Vitaceae. The transcript has 4 exons.
AUAGCAAGUCCCAUUAGAAAGAGAGAAAAAAGAAGAAGAAGAAAACAAAAGGAAAGGGAAAGAAAGACGUUUAAAUUAUGAAUAGUACAGCUGCAUUAGAAGUUAAAAGGAGAUACAGAGAGGCAUCGAAGAGAUCGGAAGAAGCCCUUUUGGAAAAGACAAGAGCUUUUUGUAAAUGCAUGGUGGGUGGAAAUCCAAAGAGGAUUUGAAGGGAUUCAAAGCCAAAUAUGGGGGUGAAAAUCUCAAGAAAUAUGCCCUUUUGGACCAACCCAGAUCAGCUUUUGGCUUCUCGGCAAAGCACUAUGGAUCAUACCAGUAAGACCGGAGCUUUGGUUGAUGUCGAUGGAGAAGAAGGGUUUGGGAAAUGGAAGAACAUGUCAAAAGAGGUGGAGGACGAGGAAGAUUCAUGGAAGCUUGGGAAGUUCCAUGACCAUGGCAUGAAGACCCCCUUCGCUUUGGAUGUUCAUGGUGUGUUAACUUUAUCCUGGUUGGGAUUGAUGAUGGAUUUAUAAUGGGUUUGGAAGGAUAUUUUCCUUUUAGUUUAUAGUUACUUUUUUUAGUUUAGAAUCACCCAAAAAAAAAAAAAAAAAGAUUCAAGAUAAUGUGCUAAAAAGGUGAUUUCUUUCUUUGAUGAAUCAUUUAGAGGUGAAUGAAAGUGAUAAGCACUUUUUCUUAAAAUAUUAUAAAUAAUUUUUAAAUUUUUUUAAAAUUAUUUUCUAAA